AAAAAGAUAAACCAUGGGUUUCCGUGUCCAACUUUGACUGUUCGUCUUAUAUGAAUUUUUUUUAUAAUUCGUAUUUUCAUUGUUGUUAGAUGAUAAAACAAGAUUAAUAUUUUAUGCGUGACUUGUUUUUUUAAUUUUUUUUAUAAUUUUUUCAAAUAAGACGGACGAUCAAACGUUAGGCACGGAAAUCAGGGUUUGUCUUUUU
Non-coding RNA from Oryza barthii, 205 nucleotides. Lineage: Eukaryota; Viridiplantae; Streptophyta; Magnoliopsida; Poales; Poaceae. The record is from Rfam.